UGCUCCAAUUGAUGUAGAUCUUCC
RNAcentral lists this non-coding RNA (24 nucleotides) under Arabidopsis thaliana (thale cress). Lineage: Eukaryota; Viridiplantae; Streptophyta; Magnoliopsida; Brassicales; Brassicaceae. The record is from RNAcentral.